RNAcentral lists this ribosomal RNA (871 nucleotides) under uncultured archaeon. Its description in RNAcentral is "bacterial SSU rRNA". It matches the Rfam family "Archaeal small subunit ribosomal RNA", at positions 4 to 882 of the family's 1478-position model. The record is from RNAcentral.
CUGGUUGAUCCUGCCAGAGGUCACUACUAUCGGGGUUCGAUUAAGCCAUGCGAGUCGAGAGGGUUCAGACCCUCGGCGGACUGCUCACUAACACGUGGAUAACCUGCCCUAAGGUGGAGCAUAACCCCGGGAAACUGGGGAUAAUACUCCAUAGGUUAGAGAUACUGGAAUGUUCUUUAAUCGAAAGUUCCGGCGCCUUAGGAUGGAUCUGCGACCGAUUAGGUAGUUGUUGGGGUAACGGCCCAACAAGCCUGUAAUCGGUACGGGUUGUGGGAGCAAGAGCCCGGAGAUGGAAUCUGAGACACGAUUCCAGGCCCUACGGGGCGCAGCAGGCGCGAAAACUUUACAAUGCAGGAAACUGUGAUAAGGGAACCCCGAGUGCCCGUAUACGCGGGCUGUCCGGGUGUAUAAAAAGCAUCUGAAGAAAGGGCCGGGCAAGACCGGUGCCAGCCGCCGCGGUAAUACCGGCGGCUCGAGUGGUGACCACUUUUAUUGGGCUUAAAGCGUUCGUAGCUGGACUCUUAAGUCUCUUGGGAAAUCCCGCGGCUCAACCGUGGGGCGUUUAAGAGAUACUGGGAGUCUAGGAACCGGGAGAGGUAAGAGGUACUACGGGGGUAGAAGUGAAAUUCUGUAAUCCUCGAGGGACCACCGAUGGCGAAUGCAUCUUACCAGAACGGCUUCGACAGUGAGGAACGAAAGCUGGGGGAGCGAACGGGAUUAGAUACCCCGGUAGUCCCAGCCGUAAACGAUGCGCGUUAGGUGUACUGGUGACCACGAGUCACUGGGGUGCCGAAGGGAAACCGUGAAACGUGCCGCCUGGGAAGUACGGUCGCAAGGCUGAAACUUAAAGGAAUUGGCGGGGGAGCACCAC